UACGUAGGGGCGAGCGUUGUCCGGAUUUAUUGGGCGUAAAGAGCGUGUAGGCGGCCAGGUAGGUUUGCUGUGAAAACUCGAGGCUCAACCUCGAGACGUCGGCGGAAACCAUCUGGCUAGAGUCCGGAAGAGGAGAGUGGAAUUCCGGUGUGAGCGGUGAAAUGCGCAGAUAUCAGGAGGAACACCGGUGGCGAAGGCGGGUCUCUGGGCCGAUACUGACGCUGAGGAGCGAAAGCCAGGGGAGCAAACGGG
Molecule: ribosomal RNA, 252 nt
Filed under: uncultured bacterium
Lineage: Bacteria
Description: partial 16S ribosomal RNA
Rfam family: Bacterial small subunit ribosomal RNA
Source: RNAcentral